Molecule: transfer RNA, 68 nt
Filed under: Homonota darwinii (Darwin's marked gecko)
Lineage: Eukaryota; Metazoa; Chordata; Lepidosauria; Squamata; Phyllodactylidae
Description: tRNA-Ala
Source: RNAcentral
AAGGCCUUAGCUUAAUUAAAGCGUCUGAGUUGCAAUUGGAAGAUGUGCUGAAGUUGUACAGGUCUUAG